RNAcentral lists this ribosomal RNA (94 nucleotides) under Periophthalmus magnuspinnatus. The record is from RNAcentral. Lineage: Eukaryota; Metazoa; Chordata; Actinopteri; Gobiiformes; Gobiidae.
AUGUAAAGCCCAACCUUGUCACAUCUCAGAAGCUAAGCAGGGUUGGGCCUUGUUAGUACUUUGAUGGGACACUGCUGAGAAAUUAGGUGACAUG